GCAAGUCGAACGAGAACGUGGGCUUCGGCUCUUUAGUAAAGUGGCAGACGGGUGAGUAAUACGUGGGUAACCUACCCGGAGGUGGGGGAUAACCUUCCGAAAGGAAAGCUAAUACCGAAUACCAUCUCAAGUUCCUCGGAACCUGCGAUCACAGCUGGCCUCUAUUUAUAAGCUAGCACCACCGGAGGUGCCCGAGCCCCAUUAGCUUGAUGGUGAGGUAACGGCUCACCAUGGCUACGAUGGGUAGCCGGCCUGAGAGGGUGAUC
RNAcentral lists this ribosomal RNA (266 nucleotides) under uncultured bacterium. Its description in RNAcentral is "partial 16S ribosomal RNA". It matches the Rfam family "Bacterial small subunit ribosomal RNA", at positions 57 to 305 of the family's 1533-position model. The record is from RNAcentral.